Molecule: ribosomal RNA, 411 nt
Filed under: uncultured Methanosaeta sp.
Lineage: Archaea; Methanobacteriati; Methanobacteriota; Methanomicrobia; Methanotrichales; Methanotrichaceae
Description: bacterial SSU rRNA
Rfam family: Archaeal small subunit ribosomal RNA
Source: RNAcentral
UUACCGGACCGACAGCAAUAUGAAGGCCAGGCUGAAGACUUUGCCGGAUUAGCUGAGAGGUGGUGCAUGGCCGUCGUCAGUUCGUACUGUGAAGCAUCCUGUUAAGUCAGGCAACGAGCGAGACCCACGCCCACAGUUGCCAGCGUACUCUCUGGAGUGACGGGUACACUGUGGGGACCGCCGCUGCUAAAGCGGAGGAAGGAAUGGGCAACGGUAGGUCAGUAUGCCCCGAAUAUCCCGGGCUACACGCGAGCUACAAUGGUUGGUACAAUGGGUAUCUACCCCGAAAGGGGACGGGAAUCUCCUAAAACCAAUCUUAGUUCGGAUUGAGGGCUGCAACUCGCCCUCAUGAAGCUGGAAUCCGUAGUAAUCGCGUUUCAACAGAACGCGGUGAAUACGUCCCUGCUCCUU